RNAcentral lists this long non-coding RNA (236 nucleotides) under Mytilus galloprovincialis (Mediterranean mussel). The record is from RNAcentral. Lineage: Eukaryota; Metazoa; Mollusca; Bivalvia; Mytilida; Mytilidae.
UUUAUCUUUUGAAACAACAUUUGUUAAUUUAUACGGAACCUAAUUUUCUACGUCUUGUCUCUGCUGUGGCGUGGGAAAGAAAGAAUGAAUGACGUCACAGUUAUCAAGGUUAAAAUAAUCAACGUCACUUAUAAUAUAUUAAUUCCAUAACGUGUACAAAGCGGAACAACUCCCAAAACGUAUGCCCACUUUCCUCCGAUAACCGGAUUUAUUCUUCAUAGGAAUAAAUCUUAUUA